ACUUGCUGUCGGAAAAACAAAGUAGCCAUGGGGGCGGUCCUUGUCAUUCCGAGGUGCUCUGAAUGCACCAAAAGCAUAGGCCUAAGGCAGAGCACAGCCAGCAUUUGCAUACAGAGUGCAUUACCACCAUCUGCUAGACUGGAGGUGUGAUGGCAAAUGUACCCUCUAGCCUCGUUCUGGCCACCAGUGUUCUGGAAGGAACUCGAAAGACAUUUGGAAACUGAAAAGUCAGAUUACUGGUUUGACUCAGUGAAUCAGUUGUCAAUAUAUGUUAUGUAAUCACUAAUAGAUCAUCCGACUUCUUAGUCAUAAAAUGGAGCAAAGUGCUAAAACUGAGCAAAUACUUUGAUAAACAAUGUAAUGUGAAUAAUCAUUAUAUUUCCACUUUAUUUUUUUGCUUGUGUCAGAAUAUGUAGAACAUCAAGCAUGGAGAAGAGAUACAUUGCCUAAUAUCAUAGGCCUAUGAUGUGGGGAUGAUCUUGAAAUUGAAAUUGUUUUUUUAAGAUAGUGAGCUAGAUAGAUUAACUCUAUUAGAUAAAUAAAUGUGCAACAGUACAAUGCAUCUUUUACUGGGUUUAAUGAGCAAUCAUGACCACAGCAGAUUCAUUAAAUCUAUUUGACCA
Molecule: long non-coding RNA, 623 nt
Organism: Alosa sapidissima (American shad)
Lineage: Eukaryota; Metazoa; Chordata; Actinopteri; Clupeiformes; Clupeidae
Exons: 3
Source: RefSeq, a predicted model, not a curated record